UGCUCAUUCACGGGGACGGCCAAAUG
RNAcentral lists this non-coding RNA (26 nucleotides) under Mus musculus (house mouse). The record is from RNAcentral. Lineage: Eukaryota; Metazoa; Chordata; Mammalia; Rodentia; Muridae.